RNAcentral lists this ribosomal RNA (442 nucleotides) under uncultured Bacillota bacterium. RNAcentral describes it as "bacterial SSU rRNA". It matches the Rfam family "Bacterial small subunit ribosomal RNA", at positions 917 to 1359 of the family's 1533-position model. Lineage: Bacteria; Bacillati; Bacillota. The record is from RNAcentral.
GGGCCCGCACAAGCAGUGGAGUAUGUGGUUUAAUUCGAAGCAACGCGAAGAACCUUACCAGGGUUUGACAUCCCGCUAACGAAGCGGAAACGCAUUAGGUGCCCUUUUAGGGAGAGCGGAGACAGGUGGUGCAUGGUUGUCGUCAGCUCGUGUCGUGAGAUGUUGGGUUAAGUCCCGCAACGAGCGCAACCCUUACGGUCAGUUGCUACGUUAAGAGCACUCUGGCCGGACUGCCGUUGACAAAACGGAGGAAGGCGGGGACGACGUCAAAUCAUCAUGCCCUUUAUAUCCUGGGCUACACACGUACUACAAUGGCGGCCAUACAACGGGUAGCGACACAGCGAUGUGAAGCCAAUCCCCAAAAGCCGCCUCAGUUCAGAUUGCAGGCUGCAACUCGCCUGCAUGAAGUCGGAAUUGCUAGUAAUCGCGGAUCAGCAUGCCG